This is a long non-coding RNA of Lepus europaeus (European hare), 1044 nucleotides long. RefSeq lists it as uncharacterized. The record is from RefSeq and is a predicted model, not a curated record. NCBI's taxonomy places the organism in Eukaryota, Metazoa, Chordata, Mammalia, Lagomorpha, Leporidae. The transcript is spliced from 4 exons.
AGACUACAGCGGGAAGAGCGUCUCUGUGGUGGCUGGGCCUUCUCUGCUCUGAGAAGAGGAAGCCGGAGGCUUCGGGAGCGGGAAGUGGUCCAGAAACUGCUCAGGUGUGGAUGUAGGUUGUUGAGCAACAGACAUUCCUGCCUUCUUGAUUCUUCACGAAGAAACAGUGUUGUGAUGCAUUAGGAUAAUCCAUUGCCCGUGAUGCUACAUCCCAUCCAGCUCUCUGCAGUGCAUCUGAGAAGCAGCAGACAACCCAAAUUCUUGAGUCCCUGCCACCAUGAGGGAGACUUGGAUGGAGUUCCAGAUCCGAGCUUUGAUCUGACCCAGUCCCAGCCAUUGUGACCAUUUGCAUACUCCCUUGGUGCUGCUGCUCUCUGUGGACUCGUCCUCCUCAGCCUCUGACUAGAGCACAGCCACCUCUCCAGUGCUGACAUCCUCUGACACACGUUUCACUCUGCUGUUCUCCCUAAACUGCAGACUCUGCUUGGGCAACCCAACUAACUCUCAUGCAUAGACACACACACCUGAGGACUCCAGAGCCUUUGAUUUCAGGUCCAAAUUAACUUUCAUUUUCAGAUGACUCGUGAAAAAACAAGUCUGGAAGCCAGGGUGUAGCCUUGUGGUUUAGAUACCUGUGUCUCAUUUUGGAGUUUCUGGGUUUGAUUCCCAGUUCCAGCCCCUGACUCCAACUCCCUGGAAAUGCAAACCCUGAGAGCUAGCAAGUGAUGGCUCAGAUGAUGGGGUUCCCUGCUCCUGGGCCAGCCCGGGCCACUGUGGACAUUUGAGCAGUGAACUAGAGGGUGAAUACCACUUCUCUGUCUACUUGUUUGUCUCUUUGCAUCUCCAAUUAAAAAAACAAAACAAAAAAGUAUGUCUAUAUCUUUCAUUAAAAUAAAUUCCUCAAUGGCUAAAAAUAGUUUCAUUGUUAAAGUUAGCAAAAAAUAAUGCUUCUUGGUUGUAAAUGAUAUUAGAAUAAUUUACAACUGUAAAUCAGACUUCCAUAGUGGAUAAGGAAGAGAAAGAUGAGAGCAAUAAUUUUUACUU